GUAGGUAGGCUGUAGGAGGACCAUAGCUACCUCUAAAUCUUUACAGAAGAUUUUGAAUGUGGCUUUUGUUGCAUAGAAAAUAAAUAAAAUAAAAUAAAUCUCUACAGAAGACUGGCAAGAGAUUGGUGCAUAUUUAAUAGCAAACAGUGGGAUGCUUUGAAAGGGAUGGAUAACAUAGAACAUUGAACAGCAAGAGCUUUAGUGGGGUUUAGGUUUUAGUAGUUGUCCAGCCAAGACUCUGCCUGUUACUGAAGCUAGGGAUAUGUGGAGUGACCAAUUUACAUCAGUCAUAGUAGAGAAGUAAUUGCUUUUAUCUGACAAAAGCAGUCUGGACCCAGUCAACAACAUGCUGAUGCUACAGUCCCUAUUCUUGAUGUUUUAUUGGAAAGUGGUAAGACUUCUUUUUCUCUCUGAGCUGGUACCACCAAUUUGCAGUGGUAUGUUCUAGAAGCAAAUCAUAUUUCAGAGCUCUUUGGUUGUGUAAUUUUUUUCAAUAGGCAUGAUGAGUAUUCUGGAAGCUGUAUCAUGGUGCCUUUUGCUUGGCUGUGUGUCAUUACUAUAAUGCAUAGGUUUUUUACUUGUUUGUGUGAUUGUUUUUAUUCCAAAGACUGCCAUCCAGGGCCAUGCAGCAAACAAGCAACAGGGAAAUAUCCCACUAUGCAAUCCUAUUUUGAGAUGAUAUUUAGGAUGAGAGAACAUGCAUUAGUUACCUACCAGCUUGACAGGAAUGGAUUUCCAAAUCUGACACACCAUAGCCUGAAUUCUCACCAGUUUGCUCCUGGAAAGGCCCGCUCAUGCAGCAUGAGCCCCUGCCACUCUUCUAAAUAAGCUUCCAGGCAUUACCUGCAUGCUGUGUUCCUGUGGUGGGAUGGCAGUAAUCUCUGCUAAGAUAAACGGGAGCUUCUGUGGAUAAAGCAUAAACGCAGUGAAGUGUGUGUGGCUGGAAGAUUUAAUGCCUCUACAGUGCUUAGAUACAAGUUGAGCUUGGAAUUCCAGAGGUAGAGCACUGCUGAUUGGAGACAUAUUAAGUAAAAUGUACUGUGGAAAUGAGAUAAAACCUUUAUUCUUGCUAAUGAUUGUCAUUGUAUGUAUUCAGGUGUCCAACAAAGGAUUUUAGAAUAAAGUGUGCCUUUAAAGUUUCCCACCUUCUUAAAGCUCCCAAUGAAUUGCAAAGGGCCUGUUUGGAAUGGACUGUAUUAAAUCUACUUCAAAUGAAAACCUUUACACUGAGUGAAAUAUGGUUCAACAAUUCUUAACACAAGGCCUUUACACUUGUGUAGCCCAUUUUGGUUUGGCCUAUCUUGUCACUAGAAUGCUGUCUGAGCUUGGAUUAUUUAUGCCCUAAGAUUUACUUAAAAUUGAAGGGAGUAUUUCCAUUCAUCAACACUAGUUUUGAUAGAUGCUUAAAAGGUGCAGUGAGGUUGAUGAUCCUGAAUACACAAAUUAUUGAUCACCACAUCAAGUUGGAUUUCCCUAAAGAUGUAUGGCUUUCUGACCUUGUGAUUUAC
RNAcentral lists this long non-coding RNA (1508 nucleotides) under Homo sapiens (human). Its description in RNAcentral is "PREDICTED lncRNA (TCONS_00272713)". Lineage: Eukaryota; Metazoa; Chordata; Mammalia; Primates; Hominidae. The record is from RNAcentral.